Monodelphis domestica (gray short-tailed opossum) is the source of this 980-nucleotide long non-coding RNA. RefSeq lists it as uncharacterized. The record is from RefSeq and is a predicted model, not a curated record. Lineage: Eukaryota; Metazoa; Chordata; Mammalia; Didelphimorphia; Didelphidae.
AGAUUUAAAAUCAGGAAGAUUCUAUCCACUGGUCCACCUAACUGUCCGAUGCUAAUUUUACCUCACCUUUAUAUAGCCCUACAAAGCUUCCUAAAUGCUUUGCUUAGAUUAGCCCAUUUUAUCUCCUCAAAAACUCAUCUAGUACUCCAGGCUCCCUGUUUACAACUGAAACAUUCUUAAACCUUUACCUAAGACUGCUUUUCUGAUUCCACAGCAUUAAGUAACUCUCAGCAAAAAAAAUCACUCUCCUUCCCAAUCUCCCCUUUCCCCCCCAAAAGGCAGGACCCUGUUCUAUGUUAUGCAGACACAUUGGAGGCUUCAAUGAGAAAUCUUUUCUUUAAAUUGCAGAAGUCACUGUGGUAUAAUAGAAAGAACACUUUACAUGGAGGCAGAAAAUGGGGAUUUUAACAGCUGUUUGAUGACAGCUCUCAUCUAUGGCUCUAAGAAGCUGUAGUAUGCUCAGCAUACACACUCCAAGAAUACCAUUUUGGCAGAUGGGCUAAAGCAGAUUGAUAAUAACCAUAUUCACAGGUACACAUGUGAGAAUAUAAGGAAUUUGUAAGAAGCCGUGAACCAUUUGUGCAGCUCUGUGAGACUACUUAAAACCUGAGGAAAUCUGAAUUCGUGUGCCAACUGCACCAGGGAAACCCUACACCCAGCCAAACAUUUUCGUUGGCAAAUCAAACCUGUAAGCUGUCAACGGAUUCUGCUAUCUGGCAACCAAUUGUUCAACAAUGUGCUGAUAGACAAAGAAAGCAGAAACCCAAAGAAAGAAAGCCAACAUGCCAUUUGAAGAAAGGAGCUGAUAGAGAGGGUCGAGAUGGGCAUGGGAAGCCAGAUAGAUUCCACUGCUUAUUAUUCUCUCUGAACUGGGCAAAGACUUACAGGAUCCAGGAUGGAUGACCUCUAGCUCUCUAUCUCUGAGACCCAGGGACCCUUUGUUAUUUAUUAAUAAAAUUCUUUUUAACAAUUUAAAGUGU